Molecule: transfer RNA, 74 nt
Filed under: Rhododendron molle
Lineage: Eukaryota; Viridiplantae; Streptophyta; Magnoliopsida; Ericales; Ericaceae
Description: tRNA-Met
Rfam family: tRNA
About the family: Transfer RNA (tRNA) molecules are approximately 80 nucleotides in length.
Source: RNAcentral
GUAUCCAUGGCUGAAUGGUUAAAGCGUCCAACUCAUAAUUGGAGAGUUCAUAGGUUCAAUUCCUACUGGAUGCA